Long non-coding RNA from Lycium barbarum (goji berry), 3146 nucleotides. RefSeq lists it as uncharacterized. The record is from RefSeq and is a predicted model, not a curated record. The transcript is spliced from 3 exons. NCBI's taxonomy places the organism in Eukaryota, Viridiplantae, Streptophyta, Magnoliopsida, Solanales, Solanaceae.
AGAAUAUAUAUUCAUAAAAAAAUAUAAAAAGAAGUUUAUUGGAGACAAUAAAUUAGGAGCAAGUAGUGGUAAGUACAAGCGUGCAUGCAUUGAGAAGUGAGAUAAUGAGGCAGAGCCAGGUAAGGUUGUUACUGGCAACGGCAAAGAAUCAAAUUUACACAUUCAUAUACAGCCAGAUUACACAAUGAGAAACCACAGAAUUACAGAAACUGAGAGAGGGUGGGGUCCCACUUUGUCUAUGCCCAGUUUCCUCAUUCUCUUAUAUUAGGUGAACCUACAAACUUGUUACCUAUACAUAAUCAUCACAGCUUUAUUUCAAAUACUACGUAGUUGCAAUCAUGAGUCUGUUUGGCCUUGGAAGCAGGUUACCAAAGUGUUCCCAGAUAGCACUCAAAUCCACACAGUUCACAUUAUUGGAUUGGUGAUGAUCCUAAUAUUACGUCACAUUGGGAUGACAAAAUCUAUAAAGAAGGGCCACCAGCGCACCACUUAUUAAUAAGUCAUUGUUUGAUCAGAUGGAGGAGCAUAAUUUGGUUUCCUGGAAUGGCAUGAUUGCUGCUUCUAAGCAAAUGUAAUGAUACUGCGUACUGGUAAAGCUAGAAUGUAUUUCAUAGUCUAAGUGAUUGCUGCUUCUAAGCAAAUGUAAUGAUACUGCGUACUGGUAAAGCUAGAAUGUAUUUCAUAGUCUAAGUGUUAGAAAAAAAAAUCUGAAAAAAAUAGAACCAAGCUUGAGGCAUGUGAAUUCACUGUCCUUAUUAAGAAUAUUUCGCCUUCACAGUGAAUAAUUGGUCAGGUCCAUCCCUAGAUAUUAACAAGCCCUUCCGGUGAUUGGCUGGGAGCAGAAAUAAUAUAUUUCAAGAGAAAACAUCCAGCUUAGAAGGAAGAGGAGAAAGAAAAACAAAACUAGAAAUCUGUAUAUUUUAGUGCACUAUUGUACCAUGUAUUUAUAGCUAUAGGCUCAACGACUAAUAUUUGAAAAUCAGUCUCCAAGUUGAUUCUGUCAUUAAGCCUCUUAAAAUUUGUAUCGGCUAGUUUCCUCUUUAAAUGUAGCCUGAUAAAUUCUCUCAUAAAUCUAUACUAGCUAGUUUGACCAUUUGAAAUAUAAGGCAAAAUAAAUUACUAAUAAUAAGUAGAUGUUUUAAAAUAAAAAAAAAAUUCAUAAAGUGAAUCCUGAAAAGGGGUCUCGCUCUCGCAUAUAUAUCUCGCGAGCAGGGAGGAGGACAGCCCAUUUUGCCUUGUGGCCCAGCGUUGGGGCAUGUUAGUCCAAUGAGUUUAAUUGUGUUGCAAUGCUUGCUGUGAUUUGGCUUGUGCUAGGUUGCAUACAGAUCUAUCUAUUGAUAAAUAUGUAAAUUAUCGGGCAAUUUGCAGGAUUGACCUUCGCUGGCGGUGGUCUUUAAUUUUUGUCCCUCAAAAUGGUGGUCUUUAAUUUUUGCCCUUCAGGCAGAAUUUUGCAAAAUUUGGGCAUUACAGGGAGAAUUUGCACAUGGACAGAAUUUUCAACUUCUGCCUUCAGAAAUACUGCCUUGCAAAUUUAUUUUUUCUGAGCUGGGGCUCGAACCCACAACCUCGGGAUAUUAGACGAAGGGCAAAACUUAAAGACCACCAAUUUGAAGGGCAAAAAUUAAAGACCACCCCAAAUGAAGGACAAUCCGCGCAAAAAGAAAAAAAUAAAUUAUCGAGUAUAGAACUGACAAGGGACGGUUUUGACAGGUUACCUCAGGAAUAUGUUGUAUUACGAGUGAACAAUAAUCUGGUAUAUUCGAUUAAAUUGCACUUGUAAUUUUUUUUUCCUAAUCAGCAUAUAUAACUUAAUUACUACUCCCUCCGUCCCAUAAUAAGUGUCACCUUAGCCAAAAACACGCAUAUUAAGAAACCAAUAAUGUUAUGUGAAGUUUACCAAAUUACCCCUAUAUAAUAAAAAUAAAUUAAUUUUCCUCUUGAUUAGAGCAUGCACAAGUAGUGAAUCUUUUGACAUUAGGAAUCCAACAAUAUCAAGUUACUAUGUGGCUUUUCCAAUUAUCAUUUAGAUGUUUUAACUUGUCUUUUUGUCUAAGGGUAAAAUUGAAAAAAAACUAGUCAAUUUAUGUCUUGGUUUCCUAAGGUGACACUUAUUAUGAGAUAAAUUUUUCUGGCUAAAAUGACACUUAUUAUGGGACGCAGGGAGUAUUUAAUAGAACAAAAAUGAUGCAAUUUUCACGGGGCUGGUCCGUGGAUUGGAAUAAGAUCUCCUCCCAGUUGAGUUGGGCUUGGCCACUGUAUAGCUGGGCUAGUCGAAGCCAACUUUCAAAACUGAUACUUGAUUCAUUUGAAUAGUUUUUCUUGUUUAAUUAGAAGCGACGAAUAAAUUAAGUUUUUUUUUUUUUUGGGGGGGGAAUCUACAUGGUGUGGCAAACUGUAGGUUUUUAUAUUUAGUAACUAUAGUUUGCAUUAAUUACUUCUCAUAGCUAAAAGUUGUAUUUGAAUUACCUAUCAUAGCUACACUAUAUAUUUAAAGUAGAAUACUCUAUUUUUAUUAUUUUUAUCUUAACUGAGAAUUUUAGGGCUAGCUUUGAGAUUAUUCUUCUCUCUCCGCCGCCGCCGGCCACAACGGAGAUCUCCUGAGAGUUCUUCCACCAUCGCCGUUUCUCUCUCUAAUCUCCGGCGAGUUCUGCCGCCGUCGAACACCCUAAACACCGUUGAAACUCUCUCUCUAUUCAACGCCACCAUAUCAUUGACGUCUCUCUCUCUCUAAAUACCAUAUCUAACUUGAUGGCUUUGGAUUUGCUUGUUUUUUUUUUUCGCUGCUCCCAUGACUUGUAGGAGGUGAGCUCCACCCGCUAUCGACUGAGAGGGUCGGCGACGAUAAUGUUGUUGGUGUAGGAGUGACAAAGAAGAAAGAAGUAGUGGUAGUGGUGUUGUUGUGGCGGAGGUCGGCGAAGAUACAUUGAGAUGGAAGGAAGAGGACGAGGGUUGUUGGUGGCAGUGGUGGGAAUGACAGUGGCUCAGAUCCCAAGGCCUCCACAUCUACCUCCUCCAUGCCGCCGGUGGUGGGAAUGACGGUGGCUCAGAUCCAGACGCUUCAACAUCUACCUCCUCCACGCCGCCGGUAGUGGGAGUGAUGGUGCCGGAAAUACAGUUUAUUGUCCAGAUCUGAUCGGAAAAUACAC